This 709-nucleotide ribosomal RNA is filed under the name Clostridium tertium. RNAcentral describes it as "bacterial SSU rRNA". It matches the Rfam family "Bacterial small subunit ribosomal RNA", at positions 824 to 1533 of the family's 1533-position model. The record is from RNAcentral. Lineage: Bacteria; Bacillati; Bacillota; Clostridia; Eubacteriales; Clostridiaceae.
AGGGGUUGUCAUGACCUCUGUGCCGCCGCAAACGCAUUAAGUAUUCCGCCUGGGGAGUACGGUCGCAAGAUUAAAACUCAAAGGAAUUGACGGGGGCCCGCACAAGCAGCGGAGCAUGUGGUUUAAUUCGAAGCAACGCGAAGAACCUUACCUAGACUUGACAUCUCCUGCAUUACUCUUAAUCGAGGAAGUCCUUUCGGGGACAGGAUGACAGGUGGUGCAUGGUUGUCGUCAGCUCGUGUCGUGAGAUGUUGGGUUAAGUCCCGCAACGAGCGCAACCCUUAUUGUUAGUUGCUACCAUUUAGUUGAGCACUCUAGCGAGACUGCCCGGGUUAACCGGGAGGAAGGUGGGGAUGACGUCAAAUCAUCAUGCCCCUUAUGUCUAGGGCUACACACGUGCUACAAUGGCAAGUACAAAGAGAUGCGAUACCGCGAGGUGGAGCUAAACUAUAAAACUUGUCUCAGUUCGGAUUGUAGGCUGAAACUCGCCUACAUGAAGCUGGAGUUGCUAGUAAUCGCGAAUCAGAAUGUCGCGGUGAAUACGUUCCCGGGCCUUGUACACACCGCCCGUCACACCAUGAGAGUUGGCAAUACCCAAAGUUCGUGAGCUAACCCGUAAGGGAGGCAGCGACCUAAGGUAGGGUCAGCGAUUGGGGUGAAGUCGUAACAAGGUAGCCGUAGGAGAACCUGCGGCUGGAUCACCUCCUUU